RNAcentral lists this transfer RNA (87 nucleotides) under Yersinia enterocolitica (type O:5,27) str. YE149/02. RNAcentral describes it as "transfer RNA-Ser". The stretch from base 1 to 66 matches the Rfam family "tRNA", at positions 20 to 71 of the family's 71-position model. Rfam says of the family: Transfer RNA (tRNA) molecules are approximately 80 nucleotides in length. Lineage: Bacteria; Pseudomonadati; Pseudomonadota; Gammaproteobacteria; Enterobacterales; Yersiniaceae. The record is from RNAcentral.
AAGGAGCACGCCUGGAAAGCGUGUAUACGCGUAAGUGUAUCGAGGGUUCGAACCCCUCUCUCACCGCCAUAUUCGAGCGAAAGGCUC